Non-coding RNA from Myotis davidii, 75 nucleotides. The record is from Rfam. NCBI's taxonomy places the organism in Eukaryota, Metazoa, Chordata, Mammalia, Chiroptera, Vespertilionidae.
GUCAGUUCUCGGCUAAUUCACCCCAGAAUCAGGCUCCCUCCUCUCUGGUUCCAGGUGCAUCACCCGAGAACCGCC